GUCUAGGUUCUCUUUAGAACCACCUAUAUAUAGUAUUGCUUGAAAU
Molecule: non-coding RNA, 46 nt
Organism: Coniochaeta ligniaria NRRL 30616
Lineage: Eukaryota; Fungi; Ascomycota; Sordariomycetes; Coniochaetales; Coniochaetaceae
Source: Rfam